This 481-nucleotide long non-coding RNA is filed under the name Nicotiana tabacum (common tobacco). RNAcentral's name for it is "long non-coding RNA (NTAB_LNC014599)". The record is from RNAcentral. Lineage: Eukaryota; Viridiplantae; Streptophyta; Magnoliopsida; Solanales; Solanaceae.
GGGUUUAAACCCUAAUGCUGGCUGAAAUGGAAAAAGUUCAGUUUAGGGUUUAAAACCCUAAUGCUGACUAAAGGGAAAAUUCAGUUUAGGGUUUAAAACCCUAAUGUCGAUUGCAUGGAAAAGCUCAGUUUAGGGUUUAAAACCCUAAUGCUGGCUGAAUGGAAAAAGUUCAGUUUAGGGUUUAAAACCCUAAUGCUGACUAAAAUGGAAAAAGUUCAGUUUAGGGUUUAAAACCCUAAUGCUGACUAAAAGGAAAAUUCAGUUUAGGGUUUAAAACCCUAAUGUUGAUUGCAUGGAAAAGCUCAGUUUAGGGUUUAAAACCCUAAUGCUGACUAAAAGGAAAAUUCAGUUUAGGGUUUAAAACCCUAAUGCUGAUUGCAUGGAAAAGCUCAGUUUAGGGUUUAAAACCCUAAUGCUGGCUGAAUGGAAAAGCUCAGUUUAGGGUUUAAAACCCUAAUGCUGGCUGAAAUGGAAAAAGUUC